This is a long non-coding RNA of Ictalurus punctatus (channel catfish), 2101 nucleotides long. Lineage: Eukaryota; Metazoa; Chordata; Actinopteri; Siluriformes; Ictaluridae. The record is from Ensembl.
CCCCUCCCCCGUUGUGCCCCGCCCCUCUAUAUGAGCUGAUGAUGCGUUGCUGGAGGCGUGACAUCAGAGACCGCUCCUCCUUCAACAGCCUGCACCAGGCCUUACGACUCCACUCUCCCCGCUCCUGACUGACAUACGCUUCAACCAGUCAAGCUACGAGUGUGAGCCCGACCCGACCAAUCAGCUCAGAGUGUGAGCCCGACCCAACCAAUCAAGCUCCGAGUGUGAGCCCGACCCGACCAAUCAGCUCCGAGUGUGAGCCCGACCCAACCAGUUAAGCUCCGAAUGUGAGCCCGACCCAACCAGUUAAGCUCCGAAUGUGAGCCCGACCCAACCAAUCAGCUCCGAGUGUGAGCCCGACCCAACCAGUCAAGCUCCGAAUGUGAGCCCGACCCAACCAAUCAGCUCCGAGUGUGAGCCCGCACUCUUUCCCCUGAGGAGAACUAGAAACUGGACGCCUUUGAUGCGUAGCGGUGGAGGAAGAGAGAAUCAGAGACGAUGAUGAUGUCAUUUCGAGACACUUUUCUGGGCUUCGGUUCUGGAGCACUGUUACCGUGGUUCUGUGCUAAUCAUAAUUUAGCAUCAGAGAGUGAAGAAGAGGCCUGUUGGGACUCCAGGGUGUGGCUCCAGUCCAUAGACACUUGAGAAGUUUUUUGUGUGUGUGUGUUGUCUAAAUUUUUUUAAUAGUUAUUUUCAUUUCCUGUCCUGGUGAUACGUUGUGUCUCUGAGCCUACUGUACACUCAUGGCCUUAAAGACACCGUUCAGCCCAGAGUGAAGUGUACACAAGUGUAUUUUAAUACUCUGAUUAAGGUGUGAUGAUUUAGACCCGCGCUUUGGACAGGGCUAAACCGCCGGCUAUAGGCUUCCAUUACUUAUCAGCUACAUUAGCCUCAAACGCCAUGUUCUGGCUGAUCAGACCAAACUGUGUACAUUUCAUUUUGGCUGAAAUGUUCCUUUAAGGAACCAACUGGAGGAGUGUGUGUGUGUGUGUGUGUGUGUGUGUGUGUGUGUGUGUGUGUGUGUGUGUGUGUGUGUGUGUCAGCUCUGUGGUCCCUCAUCGCUCAGCACUACUGCCUGUGUUUAGUGUGUGUGUGUGUGUGUGUGUGUGUGUGUGUGUGUGUGUGUGUGUGUGUGUGUGUGUUCACUCCCUCCCCACACUGGAGUUAUGAAUGAAUCCUGACUAUAAUGUGGAUCGUUUAUUUUUUGUGUGUUUAUAGUUGUCUGUAUGUGAAUGUUCCAAAGGUUCUUCUGAGUGAGCAGAACUACUGUCACAGCUAAAUGAACAGAGAGCUUUCCUGAGAGAGAGAGAGAGACAGACUAUCUAGCUCUUCUUCACCCAUGCUGCAGUAUCGCAUUGGUCUCGUAGGUUGAGGGUGCCAAAACUUCCUGUGUACUGUUUCUGAUAUUAAAGACUUUAAUGUGCACAGCACUCUGACAACUUUAUAGCACACCUCGAGCACCUCCAGCAGUGCAUUAUGGGUAAGGAGCCUUGUCCGAAGCUCCUGAGCAUCCCGGUCAGCUCUGAUAGAUCUCUAGGACGUUGUGUAAGGCACACAUGAACCCAAACAGGAGAAAGAGUACUCGGUGUGUAGAAGACGAGUACCCGAGACCUGUGCGCUCUCGUUCUUUGCUAAAGGCACAUGACUCUGCAGAAGACGUGGACACAGUGUCGAAUUCCUCUGAGCAGCACAUCUGCCUUCUCUGGUCACGCAUAUUAUUAUAUUUAGCUUUCAGAAACUGUUCCUGUGUGCACGACGUCUCCUUCAUUCUGUCUCUGUUUUCAGUCUUUAGUGUGUUCGGCGUUUCUCCACUUCCUGCCACUACGUGUGUGUGUGAUCUCUGUUAUAAAUGGAGUGUGUACGGUUGUGGCGUGUACAUAAGCAGAACAGAUGUGUGUAAUAUAUAUAUAUAUAUAUAUAUACGGGGAUGAAGGAGGACAUGUUUGCAGCACAGCGUUUCUCUCCGAGCUUUUCUUCUGCUCCUGUUUUCUUCCUUUUCAUUAAAUAUCAGAUCUGACUCCACCAUAGUGUCAUGCGCUGAUUUGUCAUCGUUGUAGCUUUCUAAUUCCAGACUAUAUUUCUGAAAGUCGUCCGUCAGGAG